Molecule: transfer RNA, 87 nt
Filed under: Gammaproteobacteria bacterium
Lineage: Bacteria; Pseudomonadati; Pseudomonadota; Gammaproteobacteria
Description: tRNA-Ser
Rfam family: tRNA
About the family: Transfer RNA (tRNA) molecules are approximately 80 nucleotides in length. Their secondary structure includes four short double-helical elements and three loops (D, anti-codon, and T loops). Further hydrogen bonds mediate the characteristic L-shaped molecular structure. tRNAs have two regions of fundamental functional importance: the anti-codon, which is responsible for specific mRNA codon recognition, and the 3' end, to which the tRNAs corresponding amino acid is attached (by aminoacyl-tRNA synthetases). tRNAs cope with the degeneracy of the genetic code in two manners: having more than one tRNA (with a specific anti-codon) for a particular amino acid; and 'wobble' base-pairing, i.e. permitting non-standard base-pairing at the 3rd anti-codon position.
Source: RNAcentral
GGUAGGUUGGCAGAGUGGUCGAAUGCGCUACCUUGGAAAGGUAGUUAGCUAGCAAUAGUUACAAGGGUUCGAAUCCCUUACCUACCU